Molecule: long non-coding RNA, 1360 nt
Filed under: Setaria viridis
Lineage: Eukaryota; Viridiplantae; Streptophyta; Magnoliopsida; Poales; Poaceae
Description: long non-coding RNA (SVIR_LNC001004)
Source: RNAcentral
CCUCGUCUUCGCCAUGCAGCUCGGGUUCGCCAUGCUCUGCGCGGGCUCCGUCCGCGCCAAGAACACCAUGAACAUCAUGCUCACCAACGUGCUCGACGCCGCCGCCGGCGCGCUCUUCUACUACCUCUUCGGCUUCGCCUUCGCGUACGGGACCCCCUCCAACGGCUUCAUCGGCAGGCACUUCUUCGGCCUCAAGCGGCUCCCCCAGGCCGGCUUCGACUACGACUUCUUCCUCUUCCAGUGGGCCUUCGCCAUCGCCGCGGCCGGGAUCACGUCGGGCUCCAUCGCCGAGCGGACGCAGUUCGUGGCGUACCUCAUCUACUCCGCCUUCCUCACCGGCUUCGUGUACCCGGUGGUCUCCCACUGGGUCUGGUCCGCCGACGGCUGGGCCUCGGCGUCCCGGACGUCGGGGAAGCUCCUCUUCGGCUCCGGCAUCAUCGACUUCGCCGGGUCCAGCGUCGUCCACAUGGUCGGCGGCAUCGCCGGCCUCUGGGGUGCGCUGAUCGAGGGCCCCCGCAUUGGCCGGUUCGACCACGCCGGCCGCUCGGUGGCGCUGCGCGGGCACAGCGCGUCGCUCGUCGUGCUCGGCACCUUCCUGCUGUGGUUCGGGUGGUUCGGCUUCAACCCGGGGUCCUUCCUCACCAUCCUCAAGAGCUACGGCCCCGCCGGGAGCAUCCACGGGCAGUGGUCCGCCGUGGGCCGCACCGCCGUGACCACCACCCUCGCCGGCAGCACGGCGGCGCUCACCACGCUCUUCGGGAAGCGCCUCCAGACGGGGCACUGGAACGUGCUCGACGUCUGCAACGGCCUGCUCGGCGGGUUCGCCGCCAUCACCGCCGGCUGCUCGGUGGUGGACCCCUGGGCGGCCGUCAUCUGCGGGUUCGUGUCGGCGUGGGUGCUCAUCGGGCUCAACGCGCUGGCAGCAAGGCUCCGGUUCGACGACCCGCUGGAGGCCGCGCAGCUCCACGGCGGGUGCGGCGCGUGGGGGGUCAUCUUCACGGGGCUCUUCGCGCGCCGGGAGUACGUGGAGCAGAUCUACGGCGGCGGCGCGCCGGGGCGGCCGUACGGGCUCUUCAUGGGCGGCGGCGGCCGGCUGCUGGCGGCGAACGUGGUGAUGGUCCUGGUGAUCGCGGCGUGGGUGAGCGUCACCAUGGCGCCGCUGUUCCUGGCGCUCAGCAAGAUGGGCCUCCUCCGCGUCUCCGCCGAGGACGAGAUGGCCGGCAUGGACCAGACGCGGCACGGCGGGUUCGCGUACGCGUACCACGACGACGAGGACCCCAGCGUCAGGCCCAAGGCGGUGAUGAGCACGCAGAUCGCCAACGCGUCCAGCGGCGAGUUCUAGCGACUCAGUGCCGCUAUA